CCUACGGGAGGCAGCAGUGGGGAAUAUUGGUCAAUGGGCGCAAGCCUGACCCAGCAACGCCGCGUGAAGGAAGAAGGCUUUCGGGUUGUAAACUUCUUUUGUCAGGGAAGAGUAGAAGACGGUACCUGACGAAUAAGCCACGGCUAACUACGUGCCAGCAGCCGCGGUAAUACGUAGGUGGCAAGCGUUGUCCGGAUUUACUGGGUGUAACGGGCGUGUAGCCGGGUUGACAAGUUAGAUGUGAAAUCCUGCGGCUUAACCGCAGAACUGCAUUUGAAACUGUUGAUCUUGAGUACUGGAGCGGCAGACGGAAUUUCUAGUGUAGCGGUGAAAUGCGUAGAGAUUAGGCGGAACACCAGUGGCGAAGGCGGUCUGCUGGACAGCAACUGACGGUGAGGCGCGAAAGCGUGGGGAGCAAACAGGAUUAGAUACCCGGGUAGUC
RNAcentral lists this ribosomal RNA (442 nucleotides) under uncultured bacterium. Its description in RNAcentral is "partial 16S ribosomal RNA". It matches the Rfam family "Bacterial small subunit ribosomal RNA", at positions 338 to 795 of the family's 1533-position model. The record is from RNAcentral.